UACGGAGGGGGCGAGCGUUGUCCGAAGUUACUGGGCGUAAAGCGCGCGUAGGCGGGUGGGUAAGUCCGCUGUGAAAGCCCGGAGCUCAACUCCGGAGGGUCGGUGGAUACUGCCCAUCUUGAAGGUGCUAGGGGGAGAUGGAAUUACCGGUGUAGCGGUGAAAUGCGUAGAGAUCCGGAGGAACACCAAAGGCGAAGGCAAUGUCCUGGCUCGGGUCUGACGCUCAGGUGCGAAAGCCAGGGGAGCGAACGGG
Molecule: ribosomal RNA, 253 nt
Filed under: uncultured bacterium
Lineage: Bacteria
Description: partial 16S ribosomal RNA
Rfam family: Bacterial small subunit ribosomal RNA
Source: RNAcentral